UACGUAGGUGGCAAGCGUUGUCCGGAAUUACUGGGUGUAAAGGGAGCGUAGGCGGGAAUGCAAGUUGAAUGUGAAAUUUACGGGCUCAACUCGUAAACUGCGUUCAAAACUGUGUUUCUUGAGUUAAGUAGAGGCAGGCGGAAUUCCCUGUGUAGCGGUGAAAUGCGCAGAUAUGGGGAGGAACACCAGUGGCGAAGGCGGCCUGCUGGGCUUUUACUGACGCUGAGGCUCGAAAGCGUGGGUAGCAAACAGG
Molecule: ribosomal RNA, 253 nt
Filed under: uncultured bacterium
Lineage: Bacteria
Description: partial 16S ribosomal RNA
Rfam family: Bacterial small subunit ribosomal RNA
Source: RNAcentral